This 548-nucleotide ribosomal RNA is filed under the name uncultured bacterium. Its description in RNAcentral is "partial 16S ribosomal RNA". It matches the Rfam family "Bacterial small subunit ribosomal RNA", at positions 355 to 895 of the family's 1533-position model. The record is from RNAcentral.
UGGGGAAUUUUGGACAAUGGGGGCAACCCUGAUCCAGCAAUGCCGCGUGUGUGAAGAAGGCCUUCGGGUUGUAAAGCACUUUUGUCCGGAAAGAAAACGCCGUGGUUAAUACCCGUGGCGGAUGACGGUACCGGAAGAAUAAGCACCGGCUAACUACGUGCCAGCAGCCGCGGUAAUACGUAGGGUGCAAGCGUUAAUCGGAAUUACUGGGCGUAAAGCGUGCGCAGGCGGUCCGCUAAGACAGAUGUGAAAUCCCCGGGCUUAACCUGGGAACUGCAUUUGUGACUGGCGGGCUAGAGUAUGGCAGAGGGGGGUAGAAUUCCACGUGUAGCAGUGAAAUGCGUAGAGAUGUGGAGGAAUACCGAUGGCGAAGGCAGCCCCCUGGGCCAAUACUGACGCUCAUGCACGAAAGCGUGGGGGAGCAAACAGGAUUCAGAUACCCUGGUAGUCCACGCCCUAAACGAUGUCAACUAGUUGUCGGUCUUCAUUGACUUGGUAACGUAGCUAACGCGUGAAGUUGACCGCCUGGGGAGUACGGUCGCAAGAUU